GACGAACGCUGGCGGCGUGCCUAAUACAUGCAAGUAGAACGCUGAAGAGAGGAGCUUGCUCUUCUUGGAUGAGUUGCGAACGGGUGAGUAACGCGUAGGUAACCUGCCUUGUAGCGGGGGAUAACUAUUGGAAACGAUAGCUAAUACCGCAUAACAAUGGAUGACACAUGUCAUUUAUUUGAAAGGGGCAAUUGCUCCACUACAAGAUGGACCUGCGUUGUAUUAGCUAGUAGGUGAGGUAAUGGCUCACCUAGGCGACGAUACAUAGCCGACCUGAGAGGGUGAUCGGCCACACUGGGACUGAGACACGGCCCAGACUCCUACGGGAGGCAGCAGUAGGGAAUCUUCGGCAAUGGGGGCAACCCUGACCGAGCAACGCCGCGUGAGUGAGGAAGGUUUUCGGAUCGUAAAGCUCGGUUGUAAGUCAAGAACGGGUGUGAGAGUGGAAAGUUCACACUGUGACGGUGGCUUACCAGAAAGAGACGGCUAACUACGUG
This 497-nucleotide ribosomal RNA is filed under the name uncultured bacterium. Its description in RNAcentral is "partial 16S ribosomal RNA". It matches the Rfam family "Bacterial small subunit ribosomal RNA", at positions 28 to 507 of the family's 1533-position model. The record is from RNAcentral.